Molecule: non-coding RNA, 73 nt
Organism: Manis javanica (Malayan pangolin)
Lineage: Eukaryota; Metazoa; Chordata; Mammalia; Pholidota; Manidae
Source: the annotation of a RefSeq genome assembly
GUUCAGAUAGUUCAGUUGGCAGAGCAUCAGACUUUCAAUCUGAGAGUCUGGGGUUCAAGUCCCUGUCUGGGCA